UUUAACUGAGCGUUCAGUUACUUGACGUAGACCCGAAACCGGGCGACCUACCCAUGAGCAGGAUGAAGCGAAAGUAAAAUUUCGUGGAGGUCCGAACCCACGAGCGUUGAAAAGCUCGGGGAUGACUUGUGGGUAGCGGUGAAAUUCCAAUCGAGCCCGGAGAUAGCUGGUUCUCCCCGAAAUAGCUUUAGGGCUAGCCUCAAGGUGAGAGAUACGGAGGUAGAGCACUGAAUGUCCUAGGGGGUAUUGCACCUACCGAAGACUAUCAAACUCCGAAUGCCGUCAUCUUAUACUUGGGAGUCAGACUGUGGGUGAUAAGAUUCAUAGUCGAAAGGGCAACAGCCCAGAUCGUCAGCUAAGGUCCCUAAAUGUAAGUUAAGUGGUAAAGGAUGUGGGAUUGCACAGACAACCAGGAUGUUGGCUUAGAAGCAGCCACUCAUUCAAAGAGUGCGUAAUAGCUCACUGGUCGAGUGAUCCUGCGCCGAAGAUUUCCGGGGCUAAAACUUACUACCGAAGCUACGGCAUCAGUAAUGAUGGGUAGGGGAGCUUCCCAUACGGGUUGAAGCAUGACCGUAAGGACAUGUGGACAGUAUGGGAGUGAGAAUGUUGGCAUGAGUAGCGAGAUGUGGGUGAGAAUCCCACAGGCCGUAAACCCAAGGUUUCCAGGGGAAGGUUCGUCCGCCCUGGGUUAGUCGGGACCUAAGCUGAGGCCGAAAGGCGUAGGUGAUGGACA
Molecule: ribosomal RNA, 733 nt
Filed under: Clostridioides difficile
Lineage: Bacteria; Bacillati; Bacillota; Clostridia; Peptostreptococcales; Peptostreptococcaceae
Description: partial 23S ribosomal RNA
Rfam family: Bacterial large subunit ribosomal RNA
Source: RNAcentral